UGGGGAAUAUUGCGCAAUGGGGGAAACCCUGACGCAGCGACGCCGUGUGAGGGAAGAAGGCUUUCGGGUCGUAAACCUCUGUCAGGAAGGAAGAACCUCUCAAGGCUGAACAAGCCUUGGGACUGACGGUACUUCCAGAGGAAGCACCGGCUAACUCCGUGCCAGCAGCCGCGGUAAUACGGAGGGUGCAAGCGUUAAUCGGAAUCACUGGGCGUAAAGCGCGCGUAGGCCGUCUUUUAAGUCGGACGUGAAAGCCCUCGGCUCAGCCGUGGAACUGCGUUCGAUACUGGGAGACUUGAGGCCUGGAGAGGGUGGCGGAAUUCCGGGUGGAGGAGUGAAAUCCGUAGAUAUCCGGAGGAACACCAGUGGCGAAGGCGGCCACCUGGACAGGUACUGACGCUGAGGCGCGAAAGCGUGGGGAACAAACA
This 428-nucleotide ribosomal RNA is filed under the name uncultured bacterium. RNAcentral's name for it is "bacterial SSU rRNA". It matches the Rfam family "Bacterial small subunit ribosomal RNA", at positions 355 to 774 of the family's 1533-position model. The record is from RNAcentral.